AGUGAACGCUGGCGGUAGGCCUAACACAUGCAAGUCGAACGGCAGCACAGUAAGAGCUUGCUCUUACGGGUGGCGAGUGGCGGACGGGUGAGGAAUACAUCGGAAUCUACUUUUUCGUGGGGGAUAACGUAGGGAAACUUACGCUAAUACCGCAUACGACCUACGGGUGAAAGCAGGGGAUCUUCGGACCUUGCGCGAUUGAAUGAGCCGAUGUCGGAUUAGCUAGUUGGCGGGGUAAAGGCCCACCAAGGCGACGAUCCGUAGCUGGUCUGAGAGGAUGAUCAGCCGCACUGGAACUGAGACACGGUCCAGACUCCUGCGGGAGGCAGCAGUGUGGAAUAUUAGACAAUGGGCGCAAGCCUUAUCCAGCCAUACCGCGUGGGUGAAGAAGGCCUUCGGGUUGUAAAGCCCUUUUGUUGGGAAAGAAAAGCAGCAGGUUAAUACCCCGCUGUUCUGACGGUACCCAAAGAAUAAGCACCGGCUAACUUCGUG
This 492-nucleotide ribosomal RNA is filed under the name uncultured bacterium. Its description in RNAcentral is "partial 16S ribosomal RNA". It matches the Rfam family "Bacterial small subunit ribosomal RNA", at positions 29 to 507 of the family's 1533-position model. The record is from RNAcentral.